CAGCCGCCACGGGAACACGAAGGGUGCAAGCGUUAAUCGGAAUUACUGGGCGUAAAGCGUGCGUAGGCGGUGAGUUAAGUCUGCUGUGAAAUCCCCGGGCUCAACCUGGGAAUGGCAGUGGAUACUGGCUCGCUAGAGUGUGUCAGAGGAUGGUGGAAUUCCCGGUGUAGCGGUGAAAUGCGUAGAGAUCGGGAGGAACAUCAGUGGCGAAGGCGGCCAUCUGGGACAACACUGACACUGAGGCACGAAAGCGUGGGGAGCAAACAGGAUUAGAUACCCCGGUAGUCCCUGUCUCUUAUAC
This 301-nucleotide ribosomal RNA is filed under the name uncultured bacterium. Its description in RNAcentral is "partial 16S ribosomal RNA". It matches the Rfam family "Bacterial small subunit ribosomal RNA", at positions 509 to 807 of the family's 1533-position model. The record is from RNAcentral.